AAGUCAGCUGCUACUCAAUACUUAAUAGCAGAGGGACCUAGUAGGCUAACUUGUAGAACUUUGCUAUACAAUCCAAUCUUCCUUUGGUGAAGGUUGUGAUUGCGAGUGCUCUGAGUUUCUAAUGUUGCCCCAUUCGGGGGAAAAAAUUGACCUUGUAGUGCCAAAUGCUGUGUGCUCUGUGAUUACGGUGGAGCUACUGCUCUCUGGAGCUCUUUGGCAUUAGGAAAGGUGGUUGAAUUUGUUGAUAAACAAUUUGAUCUGAUAUCGGGGCAUGUGAUGUCCCAACCAAAUGAUGUUGGGGACGUGAAGAACUUGCCAUAUUUGCUUUGAUUCGAUUGUGCAGCGUGUGCGGUUUCUUUCCUUAAUAACGUGCUGCUAAUAACGGACUGAAGGCUGUUCGUGGUUCUUAAGGGACAGGUUUUUUCCGCGAGUCUCUUGGCAUCCUUGGGGGCUUUGUGGCCUGGUUGUGUUUUGACUUGUGAGCUGGUGAAUUUUUCCACCUCUUCGAUAACUAGUUGGACAAAGCUACAUCCGGUGUAUGAUGCUAGUGUCUCUAAUCCAAGCUCAACUUGCCUCAUGUCCCUAAUCUCACCCAUACAAGGAAUGGCAUUCUACUCGUGUGUCCCGUUUUUGCUUU
RNA transcript from Eucalyptus grandis, 637 nucleotides. RefSeq lists it as uncharacterized. NCBI's taxonomy places the organism in Eukaryota, Viridiplantae, Streptophyta, Magnoliopsida, Myrtales, Myrtaceae. The transcript has 2 exons. The record is from RefSeq and is a predicted model, not a curated record.